Molecule: ribosomal RNA, 405 nt
Filed under: uncultured bacterium
Lineage: Bacteria
Description: partial 16S ribosomal RNA
Rfam family: Bacterial small subunit ribosomal RNA
Source: RNAcentral
GAUGAACGCUGGCGGCGUGCCUAAUACAUGCAAGUCGAGCGAAGCGGGGAAGGGUGAGAAACACGUGGUGAAACUUCUAUAAGGCCGGGACAACUUCGGGAAACCGGAGCUAAAACGGAUAUUUAUAGAUGGAUCAGGGCUGCAUUAGCUAGUUGGUGAGGUAAUGGCUUACCAAGGCAACGAUGCAUACCCGACCUGUUAGGGUGAUCGGCCACACUGGAACUGAGACACGGUCCAGACUCCUACGGGAGGCAGCAGUAGGGAAUCUUCCGCAAUGGGCGAAAGCCUGACGGAGCAACGCCGCGUGAGUGAUGAAGGUCUUCGGAUCGUAAAACUCUGUUAUUAGGGAAGCGGUACCUGAUCAGAAAGCCACGGCUAACUACGUGCCAGCAGCCGCGGUAAUAC